CCUACGGGAGGCUGCAGUGAGGAAUAUUGGUCAAUGGACGCAAGUCUGAACCAGCCAUGCCGCGUGCAGGAAGACGGCUCUAUGAGUUGUAAACUGCUUUUGUACGAGGGUAAACGCAGAUACGCGUAUCUGUCUGAAAGUAUCGUACGAAUAAGGAUCGGCUAACUCUGUGCCAGCAGCCGCGGUAAUACGGAGGAUUCAAGCGUUAUCCGGAUUUAUUGGGUUUAAAGGGUGCGUAGGCGGUCGGAUAAGUUAGAGGUGAAAUCCCGAGGCUCAACUUCGGAAUUGCCUCUGAUACUGUUCGGCUAGAGAGUAGUUGCGGUAGGCGGAAUGUAUGGUGUAGCAGUGAAAUGCUUAGAGAUCAUACAGAACACCGAUUGCGAAGGCAGCUUACCAAGCUACUUCUGACGUUGAGGCACGAAAGCGUGGGGAGCAAACAGGAUUAGAUACCCCAGUAGUC
This 460-nucleotide ribosomal RNA is filed under the name uncultured bacterium. RNAcentral's name for it is "partial 16S ribosomal RNA". It matches the Rfam family "Bacterial small subunit ribosomal RNA", at positions 338 to 795 of the family's 1533-position model. The record is from RNAcentral.